RNAcentral lists this ribosomal RNA (305 nucleotides) under uncultured bacterium. RNAcentral describes it as "bacterial SSU rRNA". It matches the Rfam family "Bacterial small subunit ribosomal RNA", at positions 338 to 657 of the family's 1533-position model. The record is from RNAcentral.
CCUACGGGGCGCAGCAGUGGGGGAUAUUGGACAAUGGGGGGAACCCUGAUCCAGCGACGCCGCGUGAGUGAAGAAGUAUUUCGGUAUGUAAAGCUCUGUCAGCAGGGAAGAAAGCAAUGACGGUACCUGACCAAGAAGCCCCGGCUAACUACGUGCCAGCAGCCGCGGUAAUACGUAGGGGGCAAGCGUUAUCCGGAAUUACUGGGUGUAAAGGGAGCGUAGACGGCUGUGCAAGUCUGGAGUGAAAUCCCGGGGCUUAACCCCGGAACUGCUUUGGAAACUGUUGAACUGGAGUACAGGAGAGG